UGCUCGCAAAUGUAAAAUUUGACCUUAAGAAGAACAUACACACUUGGCAUUGUGGAAUAAAUAGGUAAAUGGGCUUGCAUUGGGCUCAGUAGAGAGAUUGAUUUUAAGACAGGCCUUGGUGGGAAAGCAACCAGAGAAACCCUAAUCCCUCAUUCAGCGAGCAAGAUGAUGAUGCGAAACAUGUUUGCUAAGUAUCCUGGCGGCAGAUGGACUCGCCAUUUCUCCACCUCGUCAGGCGAAAACUGUAGGUCAAAUGUGUGCUCUUAUGUUCCAAGUUUGGUCCAAAUUAAGAAGAAACCUCAACCUGACCGCAUUUAAAAAGACAGUCAUAUGCAGGAGGAGGCCAUAACGAGAAAACGGGAUGAUUAGUCUCACUUUACAAAGCCUAGUUUAUUAUGUUACAGUACAGAAUGACCAAGAAAUCUAUGACUUUUCUUAUUUUCUUUAUUUUGGUAUCUUUGUCGAGGAACUUGGAACUGAAUCUGCUUUGUUUCACAAAUCUUUUCAAUUUCCGGAUUAAUUGUUGAGAUGCUGGUUUUGAAGCUUAUGUGUGUAGAUUAUUACGAUUGACAGAAAUGAGAGAGUAGAAGUUUGUUAUGAAAGGUUAUCCUUUUUUUGAA
Long non-coding RNA from Arabidopsis lyrata subsp. lyrata, 620 nucleotides. RefSeq lists it as uncharacterized. The record is from RefSeq and is a predicted model, not a curated record. The transcript is spliced from 2 exons. Lineage: Eukaryota; Viridiplantae; Streptophyta; Magnoliopsida; Brassicales; Brassicaceae.